UACAGAGGGGGCAAGCGUUAUUCGGAAUUAUUGGGCGUAAAGGGCGCGUAGGCGGCCUAGCAAGUGGCGGGUGAAAUCCCUCGGCUUAACCGAGGAACUGCCUGCCAGACUGCCUGGCUCGAGACCGGGAGAGGUGAGUGGAAUUCCCAGUGUAGCGGUGAAAUGCGUAGAUAUUGGGAGGAACACCAGUGGCGAAGGCGGCUCACUGGACCGGAACUGACGCUGAGGCGCGAAAGCGUGGGGAGCAAACAGG
RNAcentral lists this ribosomal RNA (253 nucleotides) under uncultured bacterium. RNAcentral describes it as "partial 16S ribosomal RNA". It matches the Rfam family "Bacterial small subunit ribosomal RNA", at positions 524 to 776 of the family's 1533-position model. RNAcentral also lists the same sequence under 1 other name. The record is from RNAcentral.